AUUUCUUUGAUGAGCCUCUCCUUAUUUCUAAACUUUGGGGAAUUAAACUCUCUGUAAUUUCAUUAUCCCAUUGAAAGGCAGGAAGAAGCAGCUAAGCUCCAAAGAAGAUGGCAAUAAAAGUGAAAACUGGAGAAACCAGAGCCAAAGACAUUUCCACAGGUUUAAUUUCCAAAGAUAGAAUUGGGGGUCUGCAAGUAUAAAUGUUUAUGUUGUUCUUGCAUAUUCCCAAACUGUCUCUAAAAGUAUUGCACAAAUUUCACUGCCACCAAUAUUCUAGGACAAGAACCUGUAACUCGCCAAGCUGCAGACGGCAGGAACAAAAGAGUUGUAACACUCCUGUUUGCCAAGCUGCAGGUAGCAGGAACAAAAGAGCUGUAACCCACUCAUUCACUGAGCUGCAGAUGGUAGGAAUAAAAGAGCUGUAACCCUUCCUCCUGCUCACCAAACUAUGGGAACGAAGAAGCCAUAAUACUAACACUAGCAGUUUCACUGCAAGUAAAACUGGUUGUCUUCAGAUAACUAAUUGUCUUCAGAUAACAUCUUAUUCCCUAUAGAAUUAAUUGAGCCGACCUCAGAUAUCUUAAGAAAAAAUAUAUAUUAAAUUCCAAAUACAGUCAUUAUUCAGUUGCUAAUAAAUGACUGUUGUAGUUCUUCAUUCCAGGUUCUUCAAAU
Cebus imitator (Panamanian white-faced capuchin) is the source of this 672-nucleotide long non-coding RNA. RefSeq lists it as uncharacterized. The record is from RefSeq and is a predicted model, not a curated record. NCBI's taxonomy places the organism in Eukaryota, Metazoa, Chordata, Mammalia, Primates, Cebidae. The transcript has 3 exons.